GUGGGGAAUAUUGGACAAUGGGCGCAAGCCUGAUCCAGCAAUGCCGCGUGCAGGAAGAAGGCCUUCGGGUUGUAAACUGCUUUUGUACGGAACGAAACGGUCCGGGUUAAUACCCUGGGCUAAUGACGGUACCGUAAGAAUAAGCACCGGCUAACUACGUGCCAGCAGCCGCGGUAAUACGUAGGGUGCGAGCGUUAAUCGGAAUUACUGGGCGUAAAGCGUGCGCAGGCGGUGAUGUAAGACAGAUGUGAAAUCCCCGGGCUCAACCUGGGAACUGCAUUUGUGACUGCAUCGCUGGAGUACGGCAGAGGGGGAUGGAAUUCCGCGUGUAGCAGUGAAAUGCGUAGAUAUGCGGAGGAACACCGAUGGCGAAGGCAAUCCCCUGGGCCUGCACUGACGCUCAUGCACGAAAGCGUGGGGAGCAAACAGGAUUAGAUACCCUUGUAGUCC
This 450-nucleotide ribosomal RNA is filed under the name uncultured bacterium. RNAcentral describes it as "partial 16S ribosomal RNA". It matches the Rfam family "Bacterial small subunit ribosomal RNA", at positions 354 to 796 of the family's 1533-position model. The record is from RNAcentral.